GGGGUAGGAGCACUCUCAAACCAGGAGGUAGGAGCACUCUCAAACCAGGGGGUAGGAGCACUCUCAAACCAGGGGGCGGGAGCACUCUCAAACCAGGAGGUAGGAGCACUCUCAAACCAGGAGGUAGGAGCACUCUCAAACCAGGAGCUAGGAGCACUCUCAAACCAGGGGGCGGGAGCACUCUCAAACCAGGGGGUAGGAGCACUCUCAAACCAGGGGGCGGGAGCACUCUCAAACCAGGGGGUAGGAGCACUCUCAAACCACGGGGCGGGAGCACUCUCAAACCAGGAGGUAGGAGCACUCUCAAACCAGGGGGUAGGAG
Molecule: long non-coding RNA, 322 nt
Organism: Oncorhynchus tshawytscha (Chinook salmon)
Lineage: Eukaryota; Metazoa; Chordata; Actinopteri; Salmoniformes; Salmonidae
Source: Ensembl